GUACUCUGGCAGUGCAUACACUAAAACUGGAACGACACGGCGAAGAUCAGCAUGGUUCCUCGGUGAGAAUGACUCGAACUCGUGGAGCGUUGCAUAACUUC
This 101-nucleotide small nuclear RNA is filed under the name Opisthorchis viverrini. The record is from RNAcentral. Lineage: Eukaryota; Metazoa; Platyhelminthes; Trematoda; Opisthorchiida; Opisthorchiidae.